UGCGAUUGAUGACAUUGCAUG
Molecule: non-coding RNA, 21 nt
Organism: Caenorhabditis elegans
Lineage: Eukaryota; Metazoa; Nematoda; Chromadorea; Rhabditida; Rhabditidae
Source: Ensembl